GAUAAAUAUAACGUUCUUUGCCCUGACCCUGUGGAUCCUGAGAAACAAACUCUCCUCCCUCAAUGCAGAUGUGUCCACCCUCAGAGACCACAGGUUACUGACCUUUAAAGCCAUCGCCCAGCUCUUCCUUCUGGGCUGCACAUGGAGCCUUGGUCUCCUCCAAGUUGGCCCAGCAACCAUGGUCAUGGCGUAUUUAUUCACCAUCGUCAACAGCCUGCAGGGAGCCUUCAUCUUCCUGGUGCACUGUCUCCUCAAUCGCCAGGUGAGAGAGGAGUACAGGAGAUGGAUCAAGGGAUUCCGAAUGUUCUGCACGAAAUCUCAGUCAUUCGAUAUAUCCAUGUCUACUGUCCCCACCACCAGCACCAAGACGG
Non-coding RNA from Chrysemys picta bellii (western painted turtle), 371 nucleotides. NCBI's taxonomy places the organism in Eukaryota, Metazoa, Chordata, Testudines, Emydidae. The record is from RefSeq and is a predicted model, not a curated record.